AGGACUUUAGCUUAAUCAAAGUAUCUGGGUUGCAUUCAGAAUAUGUGAGGUCGUCUCGCAAGCCCUA
RNAcentral lists this transfer RNA (67 nucleotides) under Eurycea chamberlaini (Chamberlain's dwarf salamander). RNAcentral describes it as "tRNA-Ala". The record is from RNAcentral. Lineage: Eukaryota; Metazoa; Chordata; Amphibia; Caudata; Plethodontidae.